RNAcentral lists this RNase P RNA (421 nucleotides) under Candidatus Moraniibacteriota bacterium. RNAcentral's name for it is "RNase P RNA component class A". It matches the Rfam family "Bacterial RNase P class A". From Rfam's summary of the family: Ribonuclease P (RNase P) is a ubiquitous endoribonuclease, found in archaea, bacteria and eukarya as well as chloroplasts and mitochondria. Its best characterised activity is the generation of mature 5'-ends of tRNAs by cleaving the 5'-leader elements of precursor-tRNAs. The record is from RNAcentral. Lineage: Bacteria; Candidatus Moraniibacteriota.
AGGACAGGUCGGAUUGUCGCGCUCCAGUGUCACAAUUGGAGUGAGGAAAGUCCGGACACUCGCCUUUUUCCCUCAAAAAAAGAGGCAGCAGGUACUGGGUAAUUCCCAGACGCCGCGAGGCGCGAGGUGCGAACAGAGACGGCUUGGUCUGCAAAGACUGAGCCACCCUAAUACACUAUUGGGGUGAAUCAAGUAGUAAUGCUUGGAGUGAAACGGCUAAAUCCUUAUCUGAGUGCAAGGUCGUGUCAUUACACGGACUUAUGCUGACUGAAUAUACAGAGGAAUAAUAUUGUAUUAAGUCUGCCUGAGUCCGUGUGAUGGAGUGCCGCAAAGAAUCAGCGAGUAAUCGUUUGAUCAAGAGAAAUGGCAAUCGUCUCGCUUCGGUGAGAUACAGAAUCCGGCUUAUAGACCCGUCCUAGAA